This 498-nucleotide ribosomal RNA is filed under the name uncultured bacterium. RNAcentral describes it as "partial 16S ribosomal RNA". It matches the Rfam family "Bacterial small subunit ribosomal RNA", at positions 30 to 523 of the family's 1533-position model. The record is from RNAcentral.
AUUGAACGCUGGCGGCAUGCCUUACACAUGCAAGUCGAACGGUAACAGGUCUUCGGAUGCUGACGAGUGGCGAACGGGUGAGUAAUACAUCGGAACGUGCCCGAGAGUGGGGGAUAAUGAAGCGAAAGCUUUGCUAAUACCGCAUACGAUCUCAGGAUGAAAGCAGGGGACCGCAAGGCCUUGCGCUCACGGAGCGGCCGAUGGCAGAUUAGGUAGUUGGUGGGAUAAAAGCUUACCAAGCCGACGAUCUGUAGCUGGUCUGAGAGGACGACCAGCCACACUGGGACUGAGACACGGCCCAGACUCCUACGGGAGGCAGCAGUGGGGAAUUUUGGACAAUGGGCGCAAGCCUGAUCCAGCCAUGCCGCGUGCAGGAUGAAGGCCUUCGGGUUGUAAACUGCUUUUGUACGGAACGAAAAGACUCUGGUUAAUACCUGGGGUCCAUGACGGUACCGUAAGAAUAAGCACCGGCUUACUACGUGCCAGCCGCCGCCGUAA